CCUACGGGUGGCAGCAGUGAGGAAUAUUGGUCAAUGGCCGUAAGACUGAACCAGCCAAGUCGCGUGAAGGAAGAAGGAUCUGUGGUUUGUAAACUUCUUUUAUCGGGGAAUAAAGGUAUCCACGUGUGGAUGUUUGCAUGUACCCUAUGAAUAAGCAUCGGCUAACUCCGUGCCAGCAGCCGCGGUAAUACGGAGGAUGCGAGCGUUAUCCGGAUUUAUUGGGUUUAAAGGGUGCGUAGGUUGUUUUUUAAGUCAGCGGUGAAAGUUUGGGGCUCAACCAUAAAAUUGCCGUUGAAACUGGAAGACUCGAGUGUGUUUGAGGUAUGCGGAAUGCGUGGUGUAGCGGUGAAAUGCAUAGAUAUCACGCAGAACUCCGAGUGCGAAGGCAGCUUACCAAGUCAUAACUGACACUGAAGCACGAAAGCGUGGGGAUCAAACAGGAUUAGAUACCCGGGUAGUC
Molecule: ribosomal RNA, 460 nt
Filed under: uncultured bacterium
Lineage: Bacteria
Description: partial 16S ribosomal RNA
Rfam family: Bacterial small subunit ribosomal RNA
Source: RNAcentral